Molecule: ribosomal RNA, 468 nt
Filed under: uncultured bacterium
Lineage: Bacteria
Description: partial 16S ribosomal RNA
Rfam family: Bacterial small subunit ribosomal RNA
Source: RNAcentral
GACGAACGCUGGCGGCGUGCUUAACACAUGCAAGUCGAACGGAAAGGCCCUGCUCUUGUGGGGUGCUCGAGUGGCGAAAGGGUGAGUAAAACGUGAGUAAACUGCCCUUGACAUUGGGAUAACUUCAGGAAACUCGGGCUAAUACCGGACAGGAGCUCCUGCUGCAUGGUGGGGGUUGGAAAGUUUCGGCGGUUGGGGAUGGAAUCGCGGCUUAUCAGCUUGUUGGUGGGGUAGUGGCUUACCAAGGCUUUGACGAGUAGCCGGCCUGAGAGGGUGACCGGCCACAUUGGGACUGAGAUACGGCCCAGACUCCUACUGGAGGCAGCAGUGGGGAAUAUUGCACAAUGGGCGGAAGCCGGAUGCAGCAACGCCGCGUGCGGGAUGACGGCCUUCGGGUUGUAAACCGCUUUCGCCUGUGACGAAGCGUGAGUGACGGUAAUGGGUAAAGAAGCACCGGCUAACUACGUG